CCUUUCUCGCUGCUCAGAAAUGUUUUGUCAUCGAAAGUAUUUCUUAUUAAUUUUAGAAUAUGUGACGGAUCGGGGAAUAUGGCAACUUGUUUUCCAUUGUAUGUAAAUACUGGGUUUAUUACGUCGCUUUCAAUAUCACACCCCAGCAAUUUGGCCAUUGAAAAAUUUGCUGGGCAACCGUCAAAAGUAACUGUUGCAAUAUCAAGGCCACAUUCACUUAUUAAGCUUAUACAUCAGUAAUUACGUUGAUAAAAAAGUAACCUACUGGAAGUUUCCAGCUUCCAUUAAUACUAGUCAGCAUGAAGACUAAAGCAUCUUUGGCAAUAGGUAAAGCAUCACUUUCCAAUAGGCUACCACAGUUGACAUAACCUACGUAAUUUUUUCCAUUCUAUUGGACAGAUUUCGGAUCAUCGAAACACAAGCUGCAUAUCCAUUUUCGCUCUGAUUUGGCAUUUUUUACUAGUAACUUAAGGGCUUCAUGUGAUUCGGCACAAAAGCCGGGUUCUCCUUCAACAGUUUCGUACCAACGUACCAAUGUGCGAGCAUGUGGUAGACAUGUAUUGAAUGAUUUUCUUACAAAAUUGUAAGCACGUGGACUUAUGAAAUGUAAAUUUAGCGCGAAUUUCCGCACUUUAGGUAAAAACUUUGAUUUGUUACUUCCUAAAAAAUCUGUUUUUGUGGAUCCAUUGAAGACAAAAAAUCUGCUGUUUCUUGAUUUAUAAGAUUUUUGAAUUGCAAUUUAUCUACGAUAACAGAGAGCUUUGCGUUAUUUUUUGCAAUUCUUCGACAUUUCGAUCUCACCACAACUAAUUUCUUUCUCCGUGACUCUGCCAACAAUUUUUGUCGAUUCAAUUUUUUUAUUAAUUUCUUUUUUCGUGGUGUCAU
This 885-nucleotide unclassified non-coding RNA is filed under the name Melitaea cinxia (Glanville fritillary). Its description in RNAcentral is "misc RNA ENSMCXG00005015653.1". The record is from RNAcentral. Lineage: Eukaryota; Metazoa; Arthropoda; Insecta; Lepidoptera; Nymphalidae.